GAUAAACGCUGGCGGCGCACAUAAGACAUGCAAGUCGAACGGACUUAACUCAUUCUUUUAGAUUGAGAGCGGUUAGUGGCGGACUGGUGAGUAACACGUAAGCAACCUGCCUAUCAGAGGGGAAUAACAGUGAGAAAUCAUUGCUAAUACCGCAUAAGCUAGUAGCAUCGCAUGAUGUAGCUGGAAAAGGAGUAAUCCGCUGUUAGAUGGGCUUGCGUCUGAUUAGCUAGUUGGUGGGGCAACGGCCUACCAAGGCGACGAUCAGUAGCCGGACUGAGAGGUUGAACGGCCACAUUGGGACUGAGAUACGGCCCAGAAUCCUACGGGAGGCAGCAGUCGGGAAUAUUGCGCAAUGGAGGAAACUCUGACGCAGUGACGCCGCGUAUAGGAAGAAGGUUUUCGGAUUGUAAACUAUUGUCGUGAGGGAAGAAAUUGACAGUACCUCGGGAGGAAGCUCCGGCUAACUAUGUGCCAGCAGCCGCCGUAA
Molecule: ribosomal RNA, 487 nt
Filed under: uncultured bacterium
Lineage: Bacteria
Description: partial 16S ribosomal RNA
Rfam family: Bacterial small subunit ribosomal RNA
Source: RNAcentral